ACUUCAGCCCCUCCCGAUGAUGACUAGAUGCUUAGAUAGGAGGAUUUUGAUUUCAAAGAUUUUUAAUAUAUUUUAUUUUUAUUUAAAAAAUAUUAUAAUAUAAUUUGAUCAGUAAUAUAAUUUGAAUAUUUGAGACAUAUUCCUACAUUAUUAUUGAGUUUUAUGUGAAAUUUUUGAUUCUUGUAAAUUAUAUACUGAACUGCAUCUAUCAGAUAAAAAAUGAUAAAUUUAAGCAGUUAGAAAG
Molecule: long non-coding RNA, 244 nt
Filed under: Elaeis guineensis (African oil palm)
Lineage: Eukaryota; Viridiplantae; Streptophyta; Magnoliopsida; Arecales; Arecaceae
Description: long non-coding RNA (EGUI_LNC064917)
Source: RNAcentral